GACAGAGGGUGCAAACGUUUGUUCGGAAUUACUGGGCGUAAAGCGUGUGUAGGCGGUCCACUAAGUCGGAUGUGAAAGCCCUGGGCUCAACCCAGGAAGUGCACUCGAAACUGGCGGGCUAGAGUAUCGGAGAGGUUGGUGGAAUUCUCGGUGUAGAGGUGAAAUUCGUAGAUAUCGAGAGGAACACCGGUGGCGAAGGCGGCCAACUGGACGAAUACUGACGCUGAGACACGAAAAGCGUGGGGAGCAAACAGG
This 255-nucleotide ribosomal RNA is filed under the name uncultured bacterium. Its description in RNAcentral is "partial 16S ribosomal RNA". It matches the Rfam family "Bacterial small subunit ribosomal RNA", at positions 524 to 776 of the family's 1533-position model. The record is from RNAcentral.